GAUGAACGCUGGCGGCGUGCCUAAUACAUGCAAGUCGAGCGAACAGACGAGAGUGCUUGCACUCUCUGACGUUAGCGGCGGACGGGUGAGUAACACGUGGGUAACCUACCUAUAAGACUGGGAUAACUUCGGGAAACCGGAGCUAAUACCGGAUAAUAUUUAGCUUCGCAUGAAGCAAUAGUGAAAGACGUUUCUGCUGUCACUUAUAGAUGGACCCGCGGUGUAUUAGCUAGUUGGUGAGGUAACGGCUCACCAAGGCAACGAUACAUAGCCGACCUGAGAGGGUGAUCGGCCACACUGGGACUGAGACACGGCCCAGACUCCUACGGGAGGCAGCAGUAGGGAAUCUUCCGCAAUGGACGAAAGUCUGACGGAGCAAUGCCGCGUGAGUGAAGAAGGUUUUCGGAUCGUAAAACUCUGUUGUAAGGGAAGAACAAGUACGUUAGUAACUGAACGUACCUUGACGGUACCUUACCAGAAAGCCACGGCUAACUACGUG
Molecule: ribosomal RNA, 499 nt
Filed under: uncultured bacterium
Lineage: Bacteria
Description: partial 16S ribosomal RNA
Rfam family: Bacterial small subunit ribosomal RNA
Source: RNAcentral